AAAUAUGGUUUUUUAAUCCCCCCCGACGAACGCUGGCGGCAGGCUUAACACAUGCAAGUCGAGCGCCCCGCAAGGGGAGCGGCAGACGGGUGAGUAACGCGUGGGAACAUACCCUCCGGUUCGGAAUAACUCAGGGAAACUUGAGCUAAUACCGGAUACGGUCGAGAGGCGAAAGAUUUAUCGCCGGAGGAUUGGCCCGCGUCCGAUUAGCUAGUUGGUGUGGUAAUGGCGCACCAAGGCGACGAUCGGUAGCUGGUCUGAGAGGAUGAUCAGCCACAUUGGGACUGAGACACGGCCCAAACUCCUACGGGAGGCAGCAGUGGGGAAUAUUGGACAAUGGGCGAAAGCCUGAUCCAGCCAUGCCGCGUGAGUGAUGAAGGCCUUAGGGUUGUAAAGCUCUUUCGCCCACGACGAUAAUGACGGUAGUGGGAGAAGAAGCCCCGGCUAACUUCGUGCCAGCAGCCGCGGUAAUACGAAGGGGGCUAGCGUUGUUCGGAAUUACUGGGCGUAAAGCGCGUGUAGGCGGGUCUUUAAGUCAGGGGUGAAAUGCCAAGGCUCAACCUUGGAACUGCCUUUGAUACUGGGGAUCUUGAGUCCGGGAGAGGUGAGUGGAACUGCGAGUGUAGAGGUGAAAUUCGUAGAUAUUCGCAAGAACACCAGUGGCGAAGGCGGCUCACUGGCCCGGAACUGACGCUGAGACGCGAAAGCGUGGGGAGCAAACAGGAUUAGAUACCCUGGUAGUCCACGCUGUAAACGAUGGAUGCUAGCCGUUGGGGAGCUUGCUCUUCAGUGGCGCAGCUAACGCCUUAAG
This 811-nucleotide ribosomal RNA is filed under the name Alphaproteobacteria bacterium SJR-16A. Its description in RNAcentral is "bacterial SSU rRNA". It matches the Rfam family "Bacterial small subunit ribosomal RNA", at positions 1 to 864 of the family's 1533-position model. Lineage: Bacteria; Pseudomonadati; Pseudomonadota; Alphaproteobacteria. The record is from RNAcentral.